This 22-nucleotide microRNA is filed under the name Euprymna scolopes. RNAcentral's name for it is "Esc-Mir-12501_3p (mature (guide))". Lineage: Eukaryota; Metazoa; Mollusca; Cephalopoda; Sepiida; Sepiolidae. RNAcentral also lists the same sequence under 3 other names. The record is from RNAcentral.
UCGGUCAUAUGUCUGCCUGAUU